This 402-nucleotide long non-coding RNA is filed under the name Struthio camelus australis. RNAcentral's name for it is "lncRNA (ENSSCUG00000000571.1)". The record is from RNAcentral. Lineage: Eukaryota; Metazoa; Chordata; Aves; Struthioniformes; Struthionidae.
CUCUUCCUGGUCUAUGAUGCUUCUGUUCCACUAGAAGUGCCUGUCCCUGUUAGCGCUCCGCAAUUAUGUUUUCCUUAUCUCUCGCUCUCCUGCUCUGGAUGCCGUCGCGGAGAGAUAAAGCUGUCCACUUUCCAAAAUUCAAGAGGAGGAAUAAACUGAAACAUUCUGUUACCUGUUGACCAGGACAAUCUCCUAGGCAUUCGGGCUAAGAAGGACACUGAUUUCAGGUUUCUCACUUCCUGGGAAAGACCUUUCACUGCUAAGCAAUUUAAAAGGAAAGUUUGGACCCACCCUCUGGGGAAGACAUGCUGCCUUUGGGUGAGUGAUUCCAACUGCCAGUCGUGUAGAUGUGGUUCACCAAUUGAUUUUUUUCCCCCAAUCCGUGUGAUGAAGAUUUGUAUU